RNAcentral lists this ribosomal RNA (692 nucleotides) under uncultured bacterium. Its description in RNAcentral is "bacterial SSU rRNA". It matches the Rfam family "Bacterial small subunit ribosomal RNA", at positions 32 to 715 of the family's 1533-position model. The record is from RNAcentral.
AACGCUAGCUACAGGCUUAACACAUGCAAGUCGAGGGGCAGCAUUGGAGUAGCAAUACUUCAGAUGGCGACCGGCGCACGGGUGAGUAACACGUAUCCAACCUGCCGCUUACUCGGGGAUAGCCUUUCGAAAGAAAGAUUAAUACCCGAUGGUAUAAAGAGUUCGCAUGUUCUCUUUAUUAAAGAAUUUCGGUAAGCGUUGGGGAUGCGUUCCAUUAGAUCGUUGGCGGGGUAACGGCCCACCAAGUCUACGAUGGAUAGGGGUUCUGAGAGGAAGGUCCCCCACAUUGGAACUGAGACACGGUCCAAACUCCUACGGGAGGCAGCAGUGAGGAAUAUUGGUCAAUGGACGAGAGUCUGAACCAGCCAAGUAGCGUGAAGGAUGACUGCCCUAUGGGUUGUAAACUUCUUUUAUACGGGAAUAAAGUAUCCUACGUGUAGGAUUUUGUAUGUACCGUAUGAAUAAGCAUCGGCUAACUCCGUGCCAGCAGCCGCGGUAAUACGGAGGAUGCGAGCAUUAUCCGGAUUUAUUGGGUUUAAAGGGAGCGUAGGUGGAAUGUUAAGUCAGCCUGUGAAAGUUUGCGGCUCAACCGUAAAAUUGCAGUUGAUACUAUCAUUCUUGAGUACAGUAUAGGUGGGCGGAAUUCGUGGUGUAGCGGUGAAAUGCUUAGAUAUCACGAAGAACUCCGAUUG